UACAGAGGUCCCAAGCGUUGUUCGGAUUCAUUGGGCGUAAAGGGUGCGUAGGCGGCGCGGUAAGUCGGGUGUGAAAUCUCGGGGCUUAACUCCGAAACUGCAUUCGAUACUGCCGUGCUUGAGGACUGGAGAGGAGACUGGAAUUUACGGCGUAGCGGUGAAAUGCGUAGAUAUCGUAAGGAAGACCAGUGGCGAAGGCGGGUCUCUGGACAGUUCCUGACGCUGAGGCACGAAGGUCAGGGGAGCAAACGGG
This 253-nucleotide ribosomal RNA is filed under the name uncultured bacterium. RNAcentral describes it as "partial 16S ribosomal RNA". It matches the Rfam family "Bacterial small subunit ribosomal RNA", at positions 524 to 776 of the family's 1533-position model. The record is from RNAcentral.